AUUGAACGCUGGCGGCAGGCCUAACACAUGCAAGUCGAACGGUAACAGGAAACAGCUUGCUGUUUCGCUGACGAGUGGCGGACGGGUGAGUAAUGUCUGGGAAACUGCCUGAUGGAGGGGGAUAACUACUGGAAACGGUAGCUAAUACCGCAUAACGUCGCAAGACCAAAGAGGGGGACCUUCGGGCCUCUUGCCAUCGGAUGUGCCCAGAUGGGAUUAGCUAGUAGGUGGGGUAACGGCUCUCCUAGGCGACGAUCCCUAGCUGGUCUGAGGGGAUGACCAGCCACACUGGAACUGAGACACGGUCCAGACUCCUACGGGAGGCAGCAGUGGGGAAUAUUGCACAAUGGGCGCAAGCCUGAUGCAGCCAUGCCGCGUGUAUGAAGAAGGCCUUCGGGUUGUAAAGUACUUUCAGCGGGGAGGAAGGGAGUAAAGUCAAUACCUUUGCUCAUUGACGUUACCCGCAGAAGAAGCACCGGCUAACUCCGUGCCAGCCGCCGCAGUAA
RNAcentral lists this ribosomal RNA (506 nucleotides) under uncultured bacterium. RNAcentral's name for it is "partial 16S ribosomal RNA". It matches the Rfam family "Bacterial small subunit ribosomal RNA", at positions 30 to 523 of the family's 1533-position model. The record is from RNAcentral.